RNAcentral lists this ribosomal RNA (737 nucleotides) under uncultured soil bacterium. RNAcentral's name for it is "bacterial SSU rRNA". It matches the Rfam family "Bacterial small subunit ribosomal RNA", at positions 8 to 741 of the family's 1533-position model. The record is from RNAcentral.
AGAGUUUGAUCAUGGCUCAGAGCGAACGCUGGCGGCGUGCUUAACACAUGCAAGUCGAACGCGCAGUUCUCUGUAGCAAUACAGGGAGCCGGCGCGUGGCGAACGGGUGCGUAACACGUGGAUAACCUUCCUUCAGGUGGGGAAUAACCCCGCGAAAGCGGGGCUAAUACCGCAUAACAUGACGAUGGCACAUGCUGUUGUCUUCAAAGCCGCAAGGCGCCAGAAGAGGGAUCCGCGGCCGAUUAGCUAGUUGGCGAGGUAAUGGCUCACCAAGGCAAUGAUCGGUAGCCGGACUGAGAGGUUGACCGGCCACACUGGAACUGAGACACGGUCCAGACUCCUACGGGAGGCAGCAGUGGGGAAUCUUGCGCAAUGGGCGAAAGCCUGACGCAGCAACGCCGCGUGGGGGAUGAAGCUUCUCGGAGUGUAAACCCCUUUCGACCCGGACGAAUGCCCGCAAGGGUUUGACGGUACGGGUAUAAGAAGCCCCGGCUAACUACGUGCCAGCAGCCGCGGUAAAACGUAGGGGGCCAGCGUUGCUCGGAAUUACUGGGCGUAAAGGGUCCGUAGGCGGUGUGGCAAGUCGGAAGUGAAAUCUCUGGGCUUAACUCAGAGGCUGCUCCCGAAACUGCUGUGCUCGAGUGCGAGAGAGGCGAGUGGAAUUGCGGGUGUAGCGGUGAAAUGCGUAGAUAUCCGCAGGGACAUCCGAGGCGAAAGCGGCUCGCUGGAUCGCAACU